Molecule: small nucleolar RNA, 102 nt
Organism: Lactuca sativa (garden lettuce)
Lineage: Eukaryota; Viridiplantae; Streptophyta; Magnoliopsida; Asterales; Asteraceae
Source: RefSeq, a predicted model, not a curated record
AAGUUGUGGACAAUUGCAAAGUAAUCCCUUGUAACGUUCACAUGCUUCAUAUAAAUAUUCCCCAUUUAAUUGUUAGAGGUUUUGGAAUUUAUUCUUCAACUU